GACGAACGCUGGCGGCGUGCUUAACACAUGCAAGUCGAACGGAAAGGCCCUGCUUUUGUGGGGUGCUCGAGUGGCGAACGGGUGAGUAACACGUGAGUAACCUGCCCUUGACUUUGGGAUAACUUCAGGAAACUGGGGCUAAUACCGGAUAGGAGCUCCUGCUGCAUGGUGGGGGUUGGAAAGUUUCGGCGGUUGGGGAUGGACUCGCGGCUUAUCAGCUUGUUGGUGGGGUAGUGGCUUACCAAGGCUUUGACGGGUAGCCGGCCUGAGAGGGUGACCGGCCACAUUGGGCCUGAGAUACGGCCCAGACUCCAACGGGAGGCAGCGGUGGGGAAUAUUGCACAGUGGGCGGAAGCCUGAUGCAGCAACGCCGCGUGCGGGAUGACGGCCUUCGGGUUGUAAACCGCUUUCGCCUGUGACGAAGCGGGAGUGACGGUAAUGGGUAAAGAAGCACCGGCUAACUACGUG
This 468-nucleotide ribosomal RNA is filed under the name uncultured bacterium. RNAcentral's name for it is "partial 16S ribosomal RNA". It matches the Rfam family "Bacterial small subunit ribosomal RNA", at positions 28 to 507 of the family's 1533-position model. The record is from RNAcentral.